This 569-nucleotide ribosomal RNA is filed under the name Stachybotrys chartarum. RNAcentral's name for it is "eukaryotic LSU rRNA". The stretch from base 178 to 331 matches the Rfam family "5.8S ribosomal RNA". Lineage: Eukaryota; Fungi; Ascomycota; Sordariomycetes; Hypocreales; Stachybotryaceae. The record is from RNAcentral.
CAGCCGGGGAGGACAUUACCGAGUUUACACUCCCAAACCCUUAUGUGAACCGUACCUAUCGUUGCUUCGGCGGGAACGCCCCGGCGCCCUGCGCCCGGAUCCAGGCGCCCGCCGGAGACCCCAAACUCUUGUGUUUUUUUCAGUAUUCUCUGAGUGGCAAACGCAAAAAUAAAUCAAAACUUUUAACAACGGAUCUCUUGGCUCUGGCAUCGAUGAAGAACGCAGCGAAAUGCGAUAAGUAAUGUGAAUUGCAGAAUUCAGUGAAUCAUCGAAUCUUUGAACGCACAUUGCGCCCGUUAGCAUUCUAGCGGGCAUGCCUGUCCGAGCGUCAUUUCAACCCUCAGGGUCCCCGUUCCGGCGGGGAACCUGGUGUUGGGGAUCGGCCCGCCCCGCGCGGCGCCGUCCCCCAAAUUCAGUGGCGGUCUCGCUGCAGCCUCCCCUGCGUAGUAGUUACAACCUCGCAUCGGAGCUCAGCGCGGCCACGCCGUAAAACCCCCGACUUUCUGAACGUUGACCUCGGAUCAGGUAGGAAUACCCGCUGAACUUAAGCAUAUCAAUAAGCGGAGGAA